CUUUCCCAGUUCAUCAGUGCUGGGCACGACGCUUCCCAUCCCAGCGCCAACCAGCGCUUGGGUUCAAGCCGGGAAGGGGUGGGUGCGCUGGGAGGAUACCUGCAACCAGCACGGCAGCUUUGGGCCUCUGCCUGCAGCUCUCGGCACAGCCAGAGACAUAAAAUAGCUGAAGUGUGUGCCGUUUGAUGGAAAAACAGCUGCAGGAUAUAAAUUAUCUAGCAGACGGAGAUUAGUUUCUUCGAUAAGUGUGAGACAGAGACACCAGUUGCAGGUCGGAGCCAAGGUCAGAAGCGAGAGCCUGAACCGCAUACGGAGGAGGAGCUGCUCAGGUCAGACAGACCGUUAUUAUAGGUUCGGUCAGCAAUGCCAUUCUCACUUCCUGGCUAGCUAGCACAGAAGAAGUGUGCUUACUCCAACAGUGAACCAUCCUGCCAGUUGGAAGACAACUGCUUCAUUCCUAAUUUGAUUUUGUCUGGCAUUCACCUCCAACCUUCAGUUCUUGUUGCAUCUUUUUCUGCC
This is a long non-coding RNA of Rhea pennata, 519 nucleotides long. RefSeq lists it as uncharacterized. The record is from RefSeq and is a predicted model, not a curated record. Lineage: Eukaryota; Metazoa; Chordata; Aves; Rheiformes; Rheidae. The transcript has 3 exons.